AGGAGUCUGACAUGUGUGCGA
RNAcentral lists this small RNA (21 nucleotides) under Arabidopsis thaliana (thale cress). Its description in RNAcentral is "Ath_wt_13732". The record is from RNAcentral. Lineage: Eukaryota; Viridiplantae; Streptophyta; Magnoliopsida; Brassicales; Brassicaceae.